ACCUGAGGAUAGCUCAGUCAGUAGAGCAUGGGUCUCUUAAUCUCAGGGCCCUGGGUUUGAGCCCCACGUUGGGCA
Molecule: transfer RNA, 75 nt
Filed under: Podarcis lilfordi (Lilford's wall lizard)
Lineage: Eukaryota; Metazoa; Chordata; Lepidosauria; Squamata; Lacertidae
Description: tRNA.Lys
Source: RNAcentral